CUCGAAAGAGAACCUGCACACAGGUGCUGCAUGGCUGUCGUCAGCUCGUGUCGUGAGAUGUUGGGUUAAGUCCCGCAACGAGCGCAACCCUUGCCAUUAGUUGCUACGAAAGGGCACUCUAAAUGGGGACUGCCGGUGACAAACCGGAGGAAGGUGGGGAUGACGUCAAGUCCUCAUGGCCCUUAUAGGUGGGGCUACACACGUCAUACAAUGGCCGGUACAGAGGGUAGCCAACCCGCGAGGGGGAGCCAAUCCCACAAAGCCGGUCGUAGUCCGGAUCGCAGUCUGCAACUCGACUGCGUGAAGUCGGAAUCGCUAGUAAUCGCGGAUCAGCAUGUCGCGGUGAAUACGUUCCCGGGUCUU
Molecule: ribosomal RNA, 363 nt
Filed under: uncultured Allobrachymonas sp.
Lineage: Bacteria; Pseudomonadati; Pseudomonadota; Betaproteobacteria; Burkholderiales; Comamonadaceae
Description: bacterial SSU rRNA
Rfam family: Bacterial small subunit ribosomal RNA
Source: RNAcentral